GUCUAUGGCUAUACCACCCUGAACACAACCCGAUCUCAUCUGAUCUCAGAAGCCAAGCAGAGUUGGGCCUGGUUAGUACUUGGAUGGAAGGUAAAUCCCAGAAAAGGCCCCGAUAUGCC
This 119-nucleotide ribosomal RNA is filed under the name Microcebus murinus (gray mouse lemur). The record is from RNAcentral. Lineage: Eukaryota; Metazoa; Chordata; Mammalia; Primates; Cheirogaleidae.